This is a long non-coding RNA of Marmota flaviventris (yellow-bellied marmot), 810 nucleotides long. RefSeq lists it as uncharacterized. The record is from RefSeq and is a predicted model, not a curated record. NCBI's taxonomy places the organism in Eukaryota, Metazoa, Chordata, Mammalia, Rodentia, Sciuridae.
CAGGCUGAGGAAAGUCCACCCCUCCCUAGCAGCUCUGCUGACCAAGGGCCGCCCCUCACAGGUGUCAGGGUGCUUCGAGGGACCCAUGGUCCUCCGGUAACAGGAUGGAGGCCAAGGCCUCUUGGCUUGCAGAGUCUGGGGAAAUGCAUUCACCUCCCAAAGCCUCCCGGGUACUUAGGGGCUUGGAAGCUUGUCUGCAGCCCGGCUCCAUGGGUGUCUCUGCUCAGCCUGCCAAGCCAGGGCCUGUCAUCGCCUCUCCAUGCCCUCCGGCCUUCCCAGCAGGGAGAAGCCACAGGGACCUUUGCCCUCCCCGAAUCCAGAGCUGAGUCCCUGUUGGAGCAUUUGCCUUCAAGGAGAGGACGGGAAACAGCCUGUGCUCAAAUGUCAGUGGGCCGGCAGACCCCCGGCAGGCAGCAAGCCUUCUCUGUGCCUUGUGUUCCCCUGGGUUAGGGAGCUUGUUCCUGCUGCUACCUCCACAGAGGCGUGGGUUCUGUCUCCAGGGACUCAGCAGAAGGACCCAGCCAUGGGAGUCUGAAUGGCCAAUGUUUUCCAGUUCCGAGGGAAGAUGUCUGUCUUCAUCUUUCCCUGCUGCGUCUCCAGGCCUUGAACAGUGUCUGGCACACAGAAGGAGCUCAAUCUAAUGAAAGACAGCCACCCUCAAUCUAAGAAGCCAACGAGUCCGAAGCAAGAUGGAGAAGGAUUCCACUCUCCUCAUAUCAGAAUAAAAUGCAGAACACUGCGGUAUUGAAAUAGAGCCAAAGGGAAAUGCGGAUCACCAGAAAAGUAAAACAAUUCACCUGGAGACCCCCA